GGAACGGUGCCCGAGAGGCUGAAGGGGCCGGAUUGCUAAUCCGGUGUACGGGGUAAACCCGUACCGAGGGUUCGAAUCCCUCCCGUUCCGC
RNAcentral lists this transfer RNA (91 nucleotides) under Phycisphaeraceae bacterium. Its description in RNAcentral is "tRNA-Ser". It matches the Rfam family "tRNA". Rfam says of the family: Transfer RNA (tRNA) molecules are approximately 80 nucleotides in length. Their secondary structure includes four short double-helical elements and three loops (D, anti-codon, and T loops). Further hydrogen bonds mediate the characteristic L-shaped molecular structure. tRNAs have two regions of fundamental functional importance: the anti-codon, which is responsible for specific mRNA codon recognition, and the 3' end, to which the tRNAs corresponding amino acid is attached (by aminoacyl-tRNA synthetases). tRNAs cope with the degeneracy of the genetic code in two manners: having more than one tRNA (with a specific anti-codon) for a particular amino acid; and 'wobble' base-pairing, i.e. permitting non-standard base-pairing at the 3rd anti-codon position. Lineage: Bacteria; Pseudomonadati; Planctomycetota; Phycisphaerae; Phycisphaerales; Phycisphaeraceae. The record is from RNAcentral.